This 229-nucleotide ribosomal RNA is filed under the name uncultured bacterium. Its description in RNAcentral is "partial 16S ribosomal RNA". It matches the Rfam family "Bacterial small subunit ribosomal RNA", at positions 524 to 751 of the family's 1533-position model. The record is from RNAcentral.
UACGUAGGGACCGAGGCGUUGUCCGGAUUCAUUGGCGUAAAGAGCGCGCAGGCGGUCGUGCAAGUCGCGUGUGGAAAGCCCCCGGCUCAACUGGGGAGGGUCACGCGAUACUGUUCGACUCGAAGGCAGGAGAGGGAAGCGGAAUUCCCGGUGUAGUGGUGAAAUGCGUAGAUAUCGGGAGGAACACCAGUGGCGAAGGCGGCUUCCUGGCCUGUUCUUGACGCUGAGG